UACGUAGGUGGCAAGCGUUAUCCGGAAUUAUUGGGCGUAAAGAGCGCGCAGGUGGUUGAUUAAGUCUGAUGUGAAAGCCCACGGCUUAACCGUGGAGGGUCAUUGGAAACUGGUCGACUUGAGUGCAGAAGAGGGAAGUGGAAUUCCAUGUGUAGCGGUGAAAUGCGUAGAGAUAUGGAGGAAUACCAGUGGCGAAGGCGGCUUCCUGGUCUGUAACUAACACUGAGGCGCGAAAGCGUGGGGAGCAAACAGGAUUAGAUACCCU
This 265-nucleotide ribosomal RNA is filed under the name uncultured prokaryote. RNAcentral describes it as "partial 16S ribosomal RNA". It matches the Rfam family "Bacterial small subunit ribosomal RNA", at positions 524 to 788 of the family's 1533-position model. The record is from RNAcentral.